GGGGGCGCACCGGUUUCGACGGGGAUUGGAAACCAAGGUUGCAGGCCGAGGCGCCGCUGGCCUCGUAAAAAGCGGCAACAACGUAAUUGCCAACGACGAUUACGCAUACGCCUACGCUGCCUAACCAGGCGCGUGGCGCCUGAUCGCUCGACGAUCACGCUGAACCGGCUGACGCCCGAUGCGCCGGGGAGGCGUCACGCUAUCGGGCUGGCGGCUGUUUGCGUUCGCCGGAACAGUCCGUGAGAUAUAACGGUGAACUGGCGCCGGCUCGCCCUGACCGUGGGCAAAAGCCAGGCGUGAGAUAUAUGCCCGGUCUAAGCCUGUAGACGCUUUGAUGUGGAAUAUUCUCGGACGGGAGUUCGAUUCUCCCCGCCUCCACCA
Molecule: transfer-messenger RNA, 381 nt
Filed under: Deltaproteobacteria bacterium
Lineage: Bacteria; Pseudomonadati; Myxococcota; Myxococcia
Rfam family: transfer-messenger RNA
About the family: Bacterial tmRNA, also known as 10Sa RNA or SsrA, is named for its dual tRNA and mRNA-like properties.
Source: RNAcentral